Molecule: ribosomal RNA, 424 nt
Filed under: uncultured Nitrosospira sp.
Lineage: Bacteria; Pseudomonadati; Pseudomonadota; Betaproteobacteria; Nitrosomonadales; Nitrosomonadaceae
Description: bacterial SSU rRNA
Rfam family: Bacterial small subunit ribosomal RNA
Source: RNAcentral
CAAGACCUUGCGCUUUUGGAGCGGCCGAUGUCUGAUUAGCUAGGUGGUGAGGUAAAGGCUUACCAAGGCGUCGAUCAGUAGCUGGUCUGAGCGGACGACCAGCCACACUGGGACUGAGACACGGCCCAGACUCCUACGGGAGGCAGCAGCGGGGGAUUUUGGACAAUGGGGGAAACCCUGAUCCAGCCAUGCCGCGGGAGUGAAGAAGGCCUUCGGGUUGUAAAGCUUUUUCAGCCGGAACGAAACGGUCACGGUUAAUACCCGUGACUACUGACGGUACCGGAAGAAGAAGCACCGGCUAACUACGUGCCAGCAGCCGCGGUAAUACGUAGGGUGCGAGCGUUAAUCGGAAUUACUGGGCGUAAAGCGUGCGCAGGCGGUCUUGUAAGUCAGAUGUGAAAUCCCCGGGCUUAACCUGGGAACU